RNAcentral lists this non-coding RNA (97 nucleotides) under Duganella sp. Leaf126. Its description in RNAcentral is "TPP riboswitch aptamer (THI element)". It matches the Rfam family "TPP riboswitch aptamer (THI element)". Rfam says of the family: Vitamin B(1) in its active form thiamin pyrophosphate (TPP) is an essential coenzyme that is synthesised by coupling of pyrimidine and thiazole moieties in bacteria. The previously detected thiamin-regulatory element, thi box was extended, resulting in a new, highly conserved RNA secondary structure, the THI element, which is widely distributed in eubacteria and also occurs in some archaea. RNAcentral also lists the same sequence under 1 other name. Lineage: Bacteria; Pseudomonadati; Pseudomonadota; Betaproteobacteria; Burkholderiales; Oxalobacteraceae. The record is from Rfam by way of RNAcentral.
GCGGUUCGCUAGGGGUCCUGGAAUCGUUUCCGGGUGAGAGAUACCCUUCGUACCUGAUCUGGAUAAUGCCAGCGAAGGAAAGCGCAAAAGUCGGCCC